CCUACGGGAGGCAGCAGUGGGGAAUAUUGCACAAUGGGCGAAAGCCUGAUGCAGCAACGCCGCGUGAGCGAUGAAGGCCUUCGGGUCGUAAAGCUCUGUCCUCAAGGAAGAUAAUGACGGUACUUGAGGAGGAAGCCCCGGCUAACUACGUGCCAGCAGCCGCGGUAAUACGUAGGGGGCUAGCGUUAUCCGGAAUUACUGGGCGUAAAGGGUGCGUAGGUGGUUUUUUAAGUCAGAAGUGAAAGGCUACGGCUCAACCGUAGUAAGCUUUUGAAACUAGAGAACUUGAGUGCAGGAGAGGAGAGUAGAAUUCCUAGUGUAGCGGUGAAAUGCGUAGAUAUUAGGAGGAAUACCAGUAGCGAAGGCGGCUCUCUGGACUGUAACUGACACUGAGGCACGAAAGCGUGGGGAGCAAACA
RNAcentral lists this ribosomal RNA (418 nucleotides) under uncultured Clostridium sp. Its description in RNAcentral is "bacterial SSU rRNA". It matches the Rfam family "Bacterial small subunit ribosomal RNA", at positions 338 to 774 of the family's 1533-position model. The record is from RNAcentral. Lineage: Bacteria; Bacillati; Bacillota; Clostridia; Eubacteriales; Clostridiaceae.